GCCCGGAUGGUGGAACGGUAGACACAAGCGACUUAAAAUCGUUUGCCGAAUAGGCGUGCGGGUUCAAAUCCCGCUCUGGGCA
This 82-nucleotide transfer RNA is filed under the name bacterium. Its description in RNAcentral is "tRNA-Leu". It matches the Rfam family "tRNA". Rfam says of the family: Transfer RNA (tRNA) molecules are approximately 80 nucleotides in length. Their secondary structure includes four short double-helical elements and three loops (D, anti-codon, and T loops). The record is from RNAcentral.